Podarcis lilfordi (Lilford's wall lizard) is the source of this 68-nucleotide non-coding RNA. The record is from the annotation of a GenBank genome assembly. Lineage: Eukaryota; Metazoa; Chordata; Lepidosauria; Squamata; Lacertidae.
GACUAGCUCAGUGGUAGAGCACAUGCUUUGCAAACAGAAAGUCCAAGGUUCAAAUCCCGGCAUAUGCA